RNAcentral lists this ribosomal RNA (699 nucleotides) under uncultured bacterium. Its description in RNAcentral is "bacterial SSU rRNA". It matches the Rfam family "Bacterial small subunit ribosomal RNA", at positions 804 to 1504 of the family's 1533-position model. The record is from RNAcentral.
AAACGAUGGGUGCUAGUUGUCAGGCAGCUUGCUGUUUGGUGACGCAGCUAACGCGUUAAGCACCCCGCCUGGGGACUACGGUCGCAAGACUAAAACUCAAAGGAAUUGACGGGGGCCCGCACAAGCGGUGGAGCAUGUGGUUUAAUUCGAGGCAACGCGAAGAACCUUACCAGCUUUUGACAUCCCGGUCGCGGUUACCAGAGAUGGUUUCCUUCAGUUCGGCUGGACCGGUGACAGGUGCUGCAUGGUUGUCGUCAGCUCGUGUCGUGAGAUGUUGGGUUAAGUCCCGCAACGAGCGCAACCCUCGCCUUUAGUUGCCAGCAUUAAGUUGGGCACUCUAGAGGGACUGCCGGUGAUAAGCCGGAGGAAGGUGGGGAUGACGUCAAAUCAUCAUGGCCCUUACGGGCUGGGCUACACACGUGCUACAAUGGCGGUGACAGUGAGCAGCCACUCAGCAAUGGGGAGCUAAUCUCUAAAAGCCGUCUCAGUUCGGAUUGUUCUCUGCAACUCGAGAGCAUGAAGUUGGAAUCGCUAGUAAUCGUGGAUCAGCAUGCCACGGUGAAUACGUUCCCGGGCCUUGUACACACCGCCCGUCACACCAUGGGAGUUGGUUUUACCCGAAGACUGUGUGCUAACUUAGGAGGCAGCAGGCCACGGUAAGGUCAGCGACUGGGGUGAAGUCGUAACAAGGUAGCCGUA